UACGUAGGGGGCAAGCGUUAUCCGGAAUCAUUGGGCGUAAAGCGCGUGUAGGCGGUUCCGUAAGUCCGCUCUGAAAGCCCAGGGCUCAACCCUGGGAGGCUGGGUGGAUACUACGGAACUGGAGUACGGAAGAGGAGAUUGGAAUUCCGUGGUGUAGCGGUGAAAUGCGCAGAUAUCAGGAGGAACACCAACAGCGAAGGCAGAUCUCUGGGACGUUACUGACGCUGAGACGCGAAGCGUGGGGAGCAAACAGG
RNAcentral lists this ribosomal RNA (254 nucleotides) under uncultured bacterium. RNAcentral's name for it is "partial 16S ribosomal RNA". It matches the Rfam family "Bacterial small subunit ribosomal RNA", at positions 524 to 776 of the family's 1533-position model. The record is from RNAcentral.